RNAcentral lists this unclassified non-coding RNA (256 nucleotides) under fungal sp. RNAcentral describes it as "partial internal transcribed spacer region". The stretch from base 1 to 46 matches the Rfam family "Eukaryotic small subunit ribosomal RNA", at positions 1786 to 1831 of the family's 1831-position model. Lineage: Eukaryota; Fungi. The record is from RNAcentral.
AAGUCGUAACAAGGUCUCCGUUGGUGAACCAGCGGAGGGAUCAUUACAGAGUCAACAACUCACCAAACCAUUGUGAACCCUACCUAGCCGUUGCUUCGGCGGGAGGCCCCCCGUGUCCCCUGUAAUGGGUGGCCGUGGGACGCCCCUAGACCCCCCGCGGUGCCCGCCGAAGGAAUCCGAAACCCUGUCAGCACAUGGCCUCUCUGAGUAUUUACUGAAUAAGUCAAAACUUUCAACAACGGAUCUCUUGGUUCUG